AUAACAUCCUCUGCUGUUAGCAUUAUGGGAAUGGUCAGAAAGCUAAGGAAGUAACCAGGAUGAAUACCAUGCCAGAAAGCACUCACCAACAACGUUAUAGAUGUUCUGAAACAGAGGAAAGAAAGAAAAAAGGCUUUACAAGAUCAUGAUUAUUUUGGAGAAAGGCAAUUUACUUUUCCUUGCGGAGCAGUUCCAGAUCUUAUGACACCCAUGCUUAGUUAAUGGUGUACUAAACUUUGUCGGUGCAAGAAUGGAUGUAGUCUGUUACAACGUUUACUGUUUCGUCAAUAUAAGCGUGCUGGAACACAUCCCAGUUUGUGGAUUCAAAACUCCUGCGCAGGUUCCGUAUUGCUUCCUCAUUCCAACGGUGGAGAGAAACAAUAAUUGUGCAAGAAACCACGCCACUGAUUAGGAACAAUUGUGUAAGGUAAUGAGGAGCAAUUUUCCAAGAUACCACACCACUGAUGAGGGCCAAUGGUGCGAGAUACCACACCACUGAUGAGGGCCAAUGGUGCGAGAUACCACACCACUGAUGAGGACCAAUGGUGUAAUAUAUCACACCACUAAUGAGGACCAGUAAUGCUAUGUACCACACCACUGAUGAGGACCAAUGGUGCAAGAUACCACACCACUAAUGAGGACCAGGACCAAUGGUGCAAGACACCACACCACUAAUGAGGACCAGGACCAAUGGUGCAAGAUACCACACCACUAAUGAGGACCAGGACCAAUGGUGCAAGAUACCACACCACUAAUGAGGACCAGGACCAGUGGUGCAAGAUACCACACCACUAAUGAGGACCAGUAAUGCUAUGUACCACUCCACUGAUGAGGACCAAUGGUGCAAGGUACCACACCACUAAUGAGGACCAAUGGUGCAAGAUACUACACCACUAAUGAGGACCAGGACCAAUGGUGCAAGAUACCACACCACUAAUGAGGACCAGUAAUGCUAUGUACCACACCACUGAUGAGGAACAAUGUUGCGAGAUACCACACCACUAAUGAGGACCAAUGGUGCAAGAUAGCUUAAGUAACUGAGAAAAAAAUGCAUUACAUUCGAAAGAGUAGCAACUGAGUGGUACCACAUGUCAUCACCACCUCGGAUAGUUUUGCAGAUGAUGUUGAGGAGGAGCAGUUGAAGAUUACACCCAAUGACAGUGAUGAAGAACCAGAUGUUUGGAAAGAUGAUCCACUGUGAAUUCUCAAGUCGUCACUGAAAUUGUGAUUGGUGAGGCAGCUGAAGUUCUCGUUGAUAAUCCUUCACCUACAUCCGUAACACGUGAUAGAAAACUGGUAUCUUUGUAGAUUAACAGUGAAAUUUUCUACACAUUGUUAAAGUGGAAUUUCAAAUGGAUGUUUAAAUUAUAUUUAAAAAUUUAAAUAUCACUAUCUGUAGUACAGUAUAUUCCAUUUUUAUGAAUUAGUAUAUUUAUGCGAAUUUACACGCUUUGCAUGUCAUAACUUGCCUGUAAAAUUGUCUUAUUAUACAACUAUCUCAUAUUUAUUGGUUUUCAGUUCUCGCUUCUUUUUCUUGUUCUAUGGCAAAAAAUCUUUUUUUCUCUUUUAUUUGAUGCCAUUUCAAGCAACACUACAACCAGACUCUGAAGUUAGGCCUGCACGGUCAAUCUUCCAUGUAAUAAUUAGGCCUAGGCCUAGAAGAAAUCCGUCCGCGCAUAUCGGAAAAUAAGGGCCGAUUUAAUAAUAAUAAUAAUAUGGUCGACUUAUAGA
Molecule: long non-coding RNA, 1731 nt
Organism: Anneissia japonica
Lineage: Eukaryota; Metazoa; Echinodermata; Crinoidea; Comatulida; Comatulidae
Exons: 4
Source: RefSeq, a predicted model, not a curated record